GGCUCCAUCGUCUAGUGGCCUAGGACAUCGCCCUCUCACGGCGGGAACCGGGGUUCGAGUCCCCGUGGAGUCA
Molecule: transfer RNA, 73 nt
Filed under: Patescibacteria group bacterium
Lineage: Bacteria
Description: tRNA-Glu
Rfam family: tRNA
About the family: Transfer RNA (tRNA) molecules are approximately 80 nucleotides in length. Their secondary structure includes four short double-helical elements and three loops (D, anti-codon, and T loops). Further hydrogen bonds mediate the characteristic L-shaped molecular structure. tRNAs have two regions of fundamental functional importance: the anti-codon, which is responsible for specific mRNA codon recognition, and the 3' end, to which the tRNAs corresponding amino acid is attached (by aminoacyl-tRNA synthetases). tRNAs cope with the degeneracy of the genetic code in two manners: having more than one tRNA (with a specific anti-codon) for a particular amino acid; and 'wobble' base-pairing, i.e. permitting non-standard base-pairing at the 3rd anti-codon position.
Source: RNAcentral